AUUGAACGCUGGCGGCAGGCCUAACACAUGCAAGUCGAGCGGAUGAAGGGAGCUUGCUCCUGGAUUCAGCGGCGGACGGGUGAGUAAUGCCUAGGAAUCUGCCUGGUAGUGGGGGAUAACGUCCGGAAACGGGCGCUAAUACCGCAUACGUCCUGAGGGAGAAAGUGGGGGAUCUUCGGACCUCACGCUAUCAGAUGAGCCUAGGUCGGAUUAGCUAGUUGGUGGGGUAAAGGCCUACCAAGGCGACGAUCCGUAACUGGUCUGAGAGGAUGAUCAGUCACACUGGAACUGAGACGCGGUCCAGACUCCUACGGGAGGCAGCAGUGGGGAAUAUUGGACAAUGGGCGAAAGCCUGAUCCAGCCAUGCCGCGUGUAUGAAGAAGGUCUUCGGAUUGUAAAGCACUUUAAGUUGGGAGGAAGGGCAGUAAGUUAAUACCUUGCUGUUUUGACGUUACCAACAGAAUAAGCACCGGCUAACUUCGUG
RNAcentral lists this ribosomal RNA (484 nucleotides) under uncultured bacterium. RNAcentral describes it as "partial 16S ribosomal RNA". It matches the Rfam family "Bacterial small subunit ribosomal RNA", at positions 30 to 507 of the family's 1533-position model. The record is from RNAcentral.